AGUGAACGCUGGCGGUAGGCCUAACACAUGCAAGUCGAACGGCAGCACAGUAAGAGCUUGCUCUUACGGGUGGCGAGUGGCGGACGGGUGAGGAACACAUCGGAAUCUACUUUUUCGUGGGGGAUAACGUAGGGAAACUUACGCUAAUACCGCAUACGACCUACGGGUGAAAGCAGGGGAUCUUCGGACCUUGCGCGAUUGAAUGAGCCGAUGUCGGAUUAGCUAGUUGGCGGGGUAAAGGCCCACCAAGGCGACGAUCCGUAGCUGGUCUGAGAGGAUGAUCAGCCACACUGGAACUGAGACACGGUCCAGACUCCUACGGGAGGCAGCAGUGGGGAAUAUUGGACAAUGGGCGCAAGCCUGAUCCAGCCAUACCGCGUGGGUGAAGAAGGCCUUCGAGUUGUAAAGACCUUUUGUUGGGAAAGAAAAGCAGCAGGUUAAUACCCCGCUGUUCUGACGGUACCCAAAGAAUAAGCACCGGCUAACUUCGUG
This 492-nucleotide ribosomal RNA is filed under the name uncultured bacterium. RNAcentral's name for it is "partial 16S ribosomal RNA". It matches the Rfam family "Bacterial small subunit ribosomal RNA", at positions 29 to 507 of the family's 1533-position model. The record is from RNAcentral.